GCUACGGGUGGCAGCAGUGAGGAAUAUUGGUCAAUGGGCGCGAGCCUGAACCAGCCAAGUAGCGUGAAGGAUGACUGUCCUACGGGUCGUAAACCUCUUUUAUAAAGGAAUAAAGUGAGGGACGUGUCCCCUUUUGUAUGUACCUUAUGAAUAAGGAUCGGCUAACUCCGUGCCAGCAGCCGCGGUAAUACGGAGGAUCCGAGCGUUAUCCGGAUUUAUUGGGUUUAAAGGGGGCGUAGAUGGGUUGUUAAGUCAGUUGUGAAAGGUUGCGGCUCAACCGUAAAAUUGCAGUUGAUACUGGCAGCCUUGAGUACAUUUGAGGUAGGCGGAAUGCGUGGUGUAGCGGUGAAAUGCUUAGAUAUCGCGAAGAACUCCGAUUGCGAAGGCAGCCUGCUAAGCUGCCACUGACGUUGAUGCUCGAAAGUGUGGGUAUCAAACAGGAUUAGAUACCCGAGUAGUC
This 460-nucleotide ribosomal RNA is filed under the name uncultured bacterium. Its description in RNAcentral is "partial 16S ribosomal RNA". It matches the Rfam family "Bacterial small subunit ribosomal RNA", at positions 338 to 795 of the family's 1533-position model. The record is from RNAcentral.